RNAcentral lists this ribosomal RNA (403 nucleotides) under uncultured bacterium. RNAcentral describes it as "partial 16S ribosomal RNA". It matches the Rfam family "Bacterial small subunit ribosomal RNA", at positions 28 to 526 of the family's 1533-position model. The record is from RNAcentral.
GACGAACGCUGGCGGCGUGCCUAACACAUGCAAGUCGAACGCAGUGGGGACGGGUGGGUAACACGUGGGUAACCUCGCAUCAGAGGGGAUAACACUUGGAAACAGGUGCUAAACCGAUAGUGAUGGCUAGACCCGCGGUGCAUUAGCUAGUUGGUGGGGGAACGGCUCACCAAGGCGACGAUGCAUAGCUGGUCUGAGAGGGUGACCGGCCACACUGGGACUGAGACACGGCCCAGACUCCUACGGGAGGCAGCAGUAGGGAAUCUUGGGCAAUGGACGAAAGUCUGACCGAGCAACGCCGCGUGAGUGAAGAAGGUUUUCGGAUCGUAAAACUCUGUUGUUAGAGAAGCGGUAUCUAACCAGAAAGCCACGGCUAACUACGUGCCAGCAGCCGCGGUAAUAC